GUCCUCGCCUUAGCAACACAUGUACUCAAGUUGGAACAAUACAUAGAAGAUGAGCGUGGUCCCUGCACAAGGAUGACAUGCAAACUGGCGAAGUGCUCCACAGUUUA
Molecule: small nuclear RNA, 107 nt
Organism: Bison bison bison
Lineage: Eukaryota; Metazoa; Chordata; Mammalia; Artiodactyla; Bovidae
Source: Ensembl